AUUGAACGCUGGCGGCAGGCCUAACACAUGCAAGUCGAGCGGAUGAAGGGAGCUUGCUCCUGGAUUCAGCGGCGGACGGGUGAGUAAUGCCUAGGAAUCUGCCUGGUAGUGGGGGAUAACGUCCGGAAACGGGCGCUAAUACCGCAUACGUCCUGAGGGAGAAAGUGGGGGAUCUUCGGACCUCACGCUAUCAGAUGAGCCUAGGUCGGAUUAGCUAGUUGGUGGGGUAAAGGCCUACCAAGGCGACGAUCCGUAACUGGUCUGAGAGGAUGAUCAGUCACACUGGAACUGAGACAGGGUCCAGACUCCUACGGGAGGCAGCAGUGGGGAAUAUUGGACAAUGGGCGAAAGCAUGACCCAGCCAUGCCGCGUGUGUGAAGAAGGUCUUCGGAGUGUAAAGCACUUUAAGUGGGGAGGAAGGGCAGUAAGUUAAUACCUUGCUGUUUUGACGUUACCAACAGAAUAAGCACCGGCUAACUUCGUG
RNAcentral lists this ribosomal RNA (484 nucleotides) under uncultured bacterium. Its description in RNAcentral is "partial 16S ribosomal RNA". It matches the Rfam family "Bacterial small subunit ribosomal RNA", at positions 30 to 507 of the family's 1533-position model. The record is from RNAcentral.